UACGAGGGGGGCAAGCGUUGUUCGGAAUUAUUGGGCGUAAAGGGAGUGUAGGCGGUUUGGUUAGUCUUGUGUGAAAUCUUCGGGCUCAACCCGAAGCCUGCACGAGAAACUGCCGGGCUUGAGUAUGGGAGAGGUGAGUGGAAUUCCUGGUGUAGCGGUGAAAUGCGUAGAUAUCAGGAGGAACACCUGUGGCGAAAGCGGCUCACUGGACCAUAACUGACGCUGAGACUCGAAAGCUAGGGGAGCAAACAGGAUUAGAUACCCUGGUAGUCCUAGCCCUAAACGAUGACUGCUUGAUGUGGCGGGUACCCAAUCCUGCCGUGUCGAAGCUAACGCGUUAAGCAGUCCGCCUGGGGAGUACGGUCGCAAGGCUGAAACUCAGAGGAAUUGACGGGGGCCCGCACAAGCGGUGGAGCAUGUGGUUUAAUUCGACGCAACGCGAAGAACCUUACCUGGGCUCGAAAUGUACAGGAAUCCGGUGGAAACAUCGGCGUCCCGCAAGGGACCUGUAUAUAGGUGCUGCAUGGCUGUCGUCAGCUCGUGUCGUGAGAUGUUGGGUUAAGUCCCGCAACGAGCGCAACCCUUACCCCCAGUUGCCAUCAUUUAGUUGGGCACUCUGGUGGAACCGCCUCGGAUAACGGGGAGGAAGGUGGGGAUGACGUCAAGUCCUCAUGGUCUUUAUGUCCAGGGCUACACACGUGCUACAAUGGCCGGUACAAACCGCUGCAAACCCGCGAGGGGGAGCUAAUCGGAAAAAGCCGGCCUCAGUUCGGAUCGCAGUCUGCAACUCGACUGCGUGAAGCUGGAAUCGCUAGUAAUCGCGGAUCAGAACGCCGCGGUGAAUACGUUCCCGGGCCU
Molecule: ribosomal RNA, 858 nt
Filed under: uncultured bacterium
Lineage: Bacteria
Description: bacterial SSU rRNA
Rfam family: Bacterial small subunit ribosomal RNA
Source: RNAcentral